GCUCAUAAUUGUGGACACACACAGCACUGAGAGAGGCGUUCUUAAAGAUUUCUCAAAGGAGAGGAAGAAGUAAAAAGAAGAUGGUGAAAUAGCUUCCCAAUGAUAAAUCGGAAAAAGUGGAAAACAGCUGGUCCUCAGGAUCCUCCAGCCUUUGCCAAGGAAAAGUGGUUUUAAUCACUGAAGAAUGAGGCUUCAACAUAUGGAAAGACUGUAAGGUGUUCCUGGACAGCAAGUGAGUGACUUGCUCACAGGCGGUAAUUCAGGGACCCAGGUUUCUUCUACCUGGUAGCUCUACUGUCCUUCAGAACCUCAGAGCCCUGUGCAUUCAGCCAGCAGGAGAAAGACCACUACUAAGGUCAUUCACUUUGGGAGAAGCCAGUCUUCAUGCCAUGAGGACGUUCAGGCAGCCCUGUGGAGAGAACCACAUGGAAAGGAUCUGAGGUCUCUCACCAGCACCAAUUUGCCAGCUAUGGGAAUGGGCCACCUUGGAAGGAGACUGUCCAGCCCAAGUGAAGGCUGCAGAUAACUGCAGCUUUGGCCAACAUUUGGCUAUAUUGCUUUGGGAAAUCUCAAGCCAGAACCAUCUGGCCAAGCUGCUCUUAAAUUCCUGAUCCACAGAAGUUUUGGAAGGCCCUCUUGUGUGAUCCAGAGAGGUUGCAACAUUUUUUGAGUCAGGUAACAAGACACACAAUUCUUACAGAUCCCUCAAGAGCUGUUUGAAAAAUAGUGGAUUUUAAAAUCUAGAAGGAGUGUGAAAGGAACCCAGGGGCUUUGCCAAUGGAGUGUCAUCAUUCAGGCCCCAUUUUGAAUCUAAACCAUCUGAUGAACCCUUUGCUGACACAUCAGCCUAUUGCUUCCUGGAAGAAUAAUUUGCACUUCAAGACUAAUUCUGAAACAAUACAAUUGCAAGGAGGAAACACAUUUGGAGUAGAGAAAUUAUAUAUGUAUAUAAAACUUAUUAUCUAACCAGGACAUAUUUGAG
This 982-nucleotide long non-coding RNA is filed under the name Homo sapiens (human). RNAcentral describes it as "HSALNT0280640". Lineage: Eukaryota; Metazoa; Chordata; Mammalia; Primates; Hominidae. The record is from RNAcentral.